RNAcentral lists this ribosomal RNA (569 nucleotides) under uncultured bacterium. RNAcentral's name for it is "partial 16S ribosomal RNA". It matches the Rfam family "Bacterial small subunit ribosomal RNA", at positions 355 to 914 of the family's 1533-position model. The record is from RNAcentral.
UGGGGAAUUUUGGACAAUGGGCGAAAGCCUGAUCCAGCAAUGCCGCGUGUGUGAAGAAGGCCUUCGGGUUGUAAAGCACUUUUGUCCGGAAAGAAAUCCUUGGCUCUAAUACAGUCGGGGGAUGACGGUACCGGAAGAAUAAGCGCCGGCUAACUACGUGCCAGCAGCCGCGGUAAUACGUAGGGUGCAAGCGUUAAUCGGAAUUACUGGGCGUAAAGCGUGCGCAGGCGGUUUGCUAAGACCGAUGUGAAAUCCCCGGGCUCAACCUGGGGAACUGCAUUGGUGACUGGCAGGCUAGAGUAUGGCAGAGGGGGGUAGAAUUCCACGUGUAGCAGUGAAAUGCGUAGAGAUGUGGAGGAAUACCGAUGGCGAAGGCAGCCCCCUGGGCCAAUACUGACGCUCAUGCACGAAAGCGUGGGGAGCAAACAGGAUUAGAUACCCUGGUAGUCCACGCCCUAAAACGAUGUCAACUAGUUNUUGGGGGAUUCAUUUCCUUAGUAACGUAGCUAACGCGUGAAGUUGACCGCCUGGGGAGUACGGUCGCAAGAUUAAAACUCAAAUGAAUUGAC